CCUACGGGAGGCAGCAGUGAGGAAUAUUGGUCAAUGGUCGGGAGACUGAACCAGCCAAGCCGCGUGAGGGAUGAAGGUACAGAGUAUCGUAAACCUCUUUUGUCAGGGAACAAAGGCGGGGACGUGUCCCCGGAUGAGUGUACCUGAAGAAAAAGCAUCGGCUAACUCCGUGCCAGCAGCCGCGGUAAUACGGAGGAUGCGAGCGUUAUCCGGAUUUAUUGGGUUUAAAGGGUGGGCGGGCGGUCUGUUAAGUCAGCGGUAAAAGCCCGGGGCUCAACCCCGGCCCGCCGUUGAAACUGGCAGUCUCGAGUGGGAGAGAAGUAGGCGGAAUGCGCGGUGUAGCGGUGAAAUGCAUAGAUAUCGCGCAGAACUCCGAUUGCGAAGGCAGCAUGCCGGCUCCACACUGACGCUGAGGCACGAAAGCGUGGGUAUCGAACAGGAUUAGAUACCCGAGUAGUC
This 459-nucleotide ribosomal RNA is filed under the name uncultured bacterium. Its description in RNAcentral is "partial 16S ribosomal RNA". It matches the Rfam family "Bacterial small subunit ribosomal RNA", at positions 338 to 795 of the family's 1533-position model. The record is from RNAcentral.